AAUUAAAAUCAGUGAAAAAACAGAAAAAGAAAAAACACAAACACUCAGAAAUUUCUGUUUUCUCAAAUACAUAUAUGAGGAGAGAACUAGUGAGUUUCUUGUUUUCCCCAGCAUUUUUGCAGAGUAAGCCUAUUGAACAUUAUUAAUUAGUGAAGACCAAACACGCCAAUACAGGCCUGCCUAAUUAAAGCAAUAAAUGGGAAAUUUUGAAGAUGUGUAAAAUAAAACAAACAGAAUAUAUUUAUAAAUGAUCAUGAAGAAGAGGAAAAAUGAUGAUUGUAGUUUGAGGGUUUGCUGGAGAAGGAUGGUGCUGCUGCUUCUUCUACUUUAGUGGUUAACAUAUCUUGUUGCUUCUUCCAUCGCUGAAUUUCCUUGGAAAGCAAUCCCUUCCCUUCUAAUUCAUGAUCUCCAUCAUCAUCACCUUCCUUGACACGAAUGAACUUCCCCUUCUUGAGUUUGUAUCCUAAAUUAAAACACAUAUCUGAUAUUUUAAUGGUAAUUAAGGAUAUUAUUCGAAAAUGCAAAAGAAA
RNAcentral lists this unclassified non-coding RNA (530 nucleotides) under Hevea brasiliensis (rubber tree). Lineage: Eukaryota; Viridiplantae; Streptophyta; Magnoliopsida; Malpighiales; Euphorbiaceae. The record is from RNAcentral.